ACGGGUGAGUAAUGCCUAGGAAUCUGCCUGGUAGUGGGGGACAACGUCUCGAAAGGGACGCUAAUACCGCAUACGUCCUACGGGAGAAAGUGGGGGAUCUUCGGACCUCACGCUAUCAGAUGAGCCUAGGUCGGAUUAGCUAGUUGGUGAGGUAAUGGCUCACCAAGGCGACGAUCCGUAACUGGUCUGAGAGGAUGAUCAGUCACACUGGAACUGAGACACGGUCCAGACUCCUACGGGAGGCAGCAGUGGGGAAUAUUGGACAAUGGGCGAAAGCCUGAUCCAGCCAUGCCGCGUGUGUGAAGAAGGUCUUCGGAUUGUAAAGCACUUUAAGUUGGGAGGAAGGGUUGUAGAUUAAUACUCUGCAAUUUUGACGUUACCGACAGAAUAAGCACCGGCUAACUCUGUGCCAGCAGCCGCGGUAAUACAGAGGGUGCAAGCGUUAAUCGGAAUUACUGGGCGUAAAGCGCGCGUAGGUGGUUCGUUAAGUUGAAUGUGAAAUCCCCGGGCUCAACCUGGGAACUGCAUCCAAAACUGGCAAGCUAGAGUAGGGCAGAGGGUGGUGGAAUUUCCUGUGUAGCGGUG
This 585-nucleotide ribosomal RNA is filed under the name uncultured Pseudomonas sp. Its description in RNAcentral is "bacterial SSU rRNA". It matches the Rfam family "Bacterial small subunit ribosomal RNA", at positions 102 to 683 of the family's 1533-position model. The record is from RNAcentral. Lineage: Bacteria; Pseudomonadati; Pseudomonadota; Gammaproteobacteria; Pseudomonadales; Pseudomonadaceae.